ACCUGGCUGGCUCAGUUAGUAAGGGCACGUGAUUCUUGUUCUCAGGAUUGUGAGUUCAAGUCUCAUGUUGGGCA
Molecule: transfer RNA, 74 nt
Filed under: Mustela putorius furo (domestic ferret)
Lineage: Eukaryota; Metazoa; Chordata; Mammalia; Carnivora; Mustelidae
Rfam family: tRNA
About the family: Transfer RNA (tRNA) molecules are approximately 80 nucleotides in length. Their secondary structure includes four short double-helical elements and three loops (D, anti-codon, and T loops).
Source: Rfam by way of RNAcentral